CCUGAUGCAGCCAUGCCGCGUGUGUGAAGAAGGCCUUCGGGUUGUAAAGCACUUUCAGUUGUGAGGAAAAGUUAGUAGUUAAUACCUGCUAGCCGUGACGUUAACAACAGAAGAAGCACCGGCUAACUCCGUGCCAGCAGCCGCGGUAAUACGGAGGGUGCGAGCGUUAAUCGGAAUUACUGGGCGUAAAGCGCACGCAGGCGGUUUGUUAAGCUAGAUGUGAAAGCCCCGGGCUCAACCUGGGAUGGUCAUUUAGAACUGGCAGACUAGAGUCUUGGAGAGGGGAGUGGAAUUCCAGGUGUAGCGGUGAAAUGCGUAGAUAUCUGGAGGAACAUCAGUGGCGAAGGCGACUCCCUGGCCAAAGACUGACGCUCAUGUGCGAAAGUGUGGGUAGCGAACAGGAUUAGAUACCCUGGUAGUCCACACCGUAAACGCUGUCUACUAGCUGUUUGUGGCUUUAAGCCGUGAGUAGCGAAGCUAACGCGAUAAGUAGACCGCCU
Molecule: ribosomal RNA, 500 nt
Filed under: Alteromonas macleodii
Lineage: Bacteria; Pseudomonadati; Pseudomonadota; Gammaproteobacteria; Alteromonadales; Alteromonadaceae
Description: bacterial SSU rRNA
Rfam family: Bacterial small subunit ribosomal RNA
Source: RNAcentral